RNAcentral lists this non-coding RNA (26 nucleotides) under Mus musculus (house mouse). The record is from RNAcentral. Lineage: Eukaryota; Metazoa; Chordata; Mammalia; Rodentia; Muridae.
UGAGAUCAGAAACUCCGUUCAUUGCC